CAGGACAUACUUUAUUCAGCUGGGUGCUGAAAAAGAAUCUUGGAAAUUAGGAAACUGAAUGAGGCCUCAUUUCACACUCAGAAUGUGGGUUGCAAUAGUCACUUCCUCUGCUGCUGGGAAAGAAAGAAUUAUACUACCUUUUGAAUUUUGGAUUAAGGAGAGAGGUGUUGGCUUGUCAAACUACCAUGUAUUCCUCAAGACAUAUUUUUGUGGCUUUAUAAAAUUCAAUAUAUAUGUCUAAAUUCAAAAAUAUUUUGUUGCAAUCUGGCCCUUGGACAAACUGAGGCCCUAGCAACUGAUGUUUAUGGCUUUCCGUAGAACCUUUCAGAUAAAAUUUACACAGCAUUUUACUGCAGCUAUUUCACACAAAGCAGAGGAUUUUGCCACAAAACUGAAAGAAAAAAGAAACUGCAUUCUUAAAUUUUUCAUAAAUCAAAAGGUAUAAAAAUAUCUACCUAAACGAUAAAGGAGAUGAGAAACCCCACCCAUGAUGGGAAGAAAGCCUAUUUCAGUUUUGCCUUUACUUCAAGUUCUUUUUUCCAUAUCUGGAAUGCAAUCAGAAUUUUAAUCUUGCCUUGGGUUCCUCCUGGAUUUGGGGAGAAGACAAAACCUGAAAAUCUCUAAUCUGCAUGUGUUCAGCUGCGUAUCUUCUGGAUACGGAAGGAUCACACUGCACAGAGUGCUGGACUUGCAGGAGCCCCGCUUCUCAACCUCCAUCGCUUUAUGAAUGAAUUCACCAGAAAGAAAAGGAAGAAUCAACACUUUCAGAGAUGGAGCCUGUUGAGCCACAGUACCAACUAGUCAAUGCUGAAUCGACUUCUCCCUUUCUACAUUGCCUGAGAGAAGUCAUUGGGGAAUACUCUAGAGUCAAGGGAUUGGAUUGUGGAUUGCAUUGGUGGUUUUCCUCAGUUUCCUCAUCUUCUCCACAAGUUUCUACAUAUCGAAUGCAGAGCAGCCCUUCUUCAAAGGACCUCCUACGGAAGCUGCUAAGGAACUCAGUCUGUAGCUCUGCGUGGAGCCAUGUGUAAACACUGAACUGAGACCUGCCACCUCCUACUACCUAAGGGCCCAUUUUCAUCUGAUAUCAUCCCCCAGAAACAAACUCAUGAUGACUUCCAUGUUUUUUUUAGAUUAGAUACAUGGAGAAUUUUCCUUUCCCUUAGAAUUAAAAUCCUGCAUUCUAAUUUUCA
This 1190-nucleotide long non-coding RNA is filed under the name Homo sapiens (human). RNAcentral's name for it is "non-protein coding LINC00943:10". Lineage: Eukaryota; Metazoa; Chordata; Mammalia; Primates; Hominidae. The record is from RNAcentral.